This 488-nucleotide unclassified non-coding RNA is filed under the name Hevea brasiliensis (rubber tree). Lineage: Eukaryota; Viridiplantae; Streptophyta; Magnoliopsida; Malpighiales; Euphorbiaceae. The record is from RNAcentral.
AAAAUCUGAAGUCAAUUGAAGCUUGCGAUUCUCAAAAUAGUACUUUUUGAAUCGAUCUUCAAGUCCUAGAGUUUGGUUUAUGUGAUAAGCCCUAUACAACGGCGUCAAAUCAAACCCUAACAUUCCAUUACUUCCAUUGCUGUAACCAUCCUUUCCGUCAUCACUGAUCCCAUUAAAUCCGUCAUCGUCUUCUUCUUCAAGAGCAUAAACACAAUCCCGAAGACUGAGUCUACUCUGCUCCUCAGCUUGUCGUUGCUUGAUUCUGAGCUCUUCUUCUCUCUGUCUUGAUGCUGAUGCUUGUCCGAUAGCUAGUUGCCCUAAAUUUCGGCUAACUACACGGAUCUCGACAAGCCAAUCACCAAACUCUUUGGUGAUUCUCCGUUCAAUAUGUGAACGAAUCGCAGGGAUCUGCUUCUCAAGCAUUCGCCGGAGAGUAGUAGAUGGUGUUUUGUUCAUAAACUCUCUCUCAAUCGAGUCCACACACUUCA